RNAcentral lists this long non-coding RNA (329 nucleotides) under Ananas comosus (pineapple). RNAcentral describes it as "long non-coding RNA (ACOM_LNC003301)". The record is from RNAcentral. Lineage: Eukaryota; Viridiplantae; Streptophyta; Magnoliopsida; Poales; Bromeliaceae.
AUACCAAUUUUGCGUUUAGAUGAAAAUUGGGUUAUUUCUAAAAAUAAGAUAAAUAGUGUUUGAAUGGUUAAAUUGGAACAAGAGGAAUAAGAAUUAUAAUUUUAAAUUAAAAUUAUUUUAUCUAAUUAAUUAAUAUCAAAAUGUUACUUAAAAUUAAUUUAAUAAAUUAAAAUUUUAUUAGCUAUGAAUAUUGUAUAAGAUAAUAAAAAUAUAUUAAGUAAGUAAUUAAAUAUAAAAAUAAUUUAACUUUUUUAAUUAGUUAGUAAAUUAUUUUAGUUAGAUAACCAGCAAAAAAAUUAAUUAUAUUAAUAAAAAUAAUAAUAGUUGAU